CUGGGAAUUGGCAUCCUGAUUCAGAACCACAAAGGUGAAUGCUUGGUCGCCUGCACUGAGCCACUUAAAGGGAUGGUACAGCCAAAACUUGCUGAAAGUUGGGCGCUCCGUCAAGCUGUGAUUCUCGCCCGUGAUGAGGGACUGACCUCUGUCAUUUUCGCUUCUGAUUGCCUCUCCUUAGUACAACGAGUGAACUCUUCAUCCAUAGACAGGUCUGAAAUGGGUGUAGUAGUGUCAGAUAUUAAGCGUUUGGUUGCUUGUUUUUCUUUUGUUUCCUUCUGCCAUGUCAAGAGGUCGUUGAAUGCUGCUGCUCACAUACUAGCUAGGGCCUGUGAGUUUGCUAGUUCAAAAGUUGUGUACUAUUCUACUCCAGAAUGUAUCAGGCAAACUCUUUGUACUGAUGUAUACUAA
This 411-nucleotide ribosomal RNA is filed under the name Triticum aestivum (bread wheat). RNAcentral's name for it is "partial small subunit ribosomal RNA". Lineage: Eukaryota; Viridiplantae; Streptophyta; Magnoliopsida; Poales; Poaceae. The record is from RNAcentral.